GGCGGUCCUCAGGUGAUGCACCCUGGAUUCAAGCUCCCUCCUCUCUGGUUCUGGGGUGCAUCACCCGAGAACCGCC
Myotis brandtii (Brandt's bat) is the source of this 76-nucleotide non-coding RNA. The record is from Rfam. NCBI's taxonomy places the organism in Eukaryota, Metazoa, Chordata, Mammalia, Chiroptera, Vespertilionidae.